GACGAACGCUGGCGGCGUGCUUAACACAUGCAAGUCGAACGGUGAAAGCGGAGCUUGCUCCGCUGGAUCAGUGGCGAACGGGUGAGUAACACGUGGGCAACCUGCCCCUGACUUCGGGAUAACUCCUCGAAAGAGGUGCUAAUACCGGAUACGAAUCCUGCAGGCAUCUGCGGGAUUGGAAAGUUUUUCGGUCAGGGAUGGGCCCGCGGCCUAUCAGCUUGUUGGUGAGGUAGUGGCUCACCAAGGCGACGACGGGUAGCCGGCCUGAGAGGGCGAACGGCACCGCUGGGACGGGGACACGGCCCAGACUACGACGGGAGGCAGCAGUGGGGAAUAGUGCGCAAUGGGCGAAAGCCUGACGCAGCAACGCCGCGUGAGGGAUGACGGCCUUCGGGUUGUAAACCUCGUUCAGCAGGGAAGAAGCGAAAGUGACGGUACCUGCAGAAGAAGCACCGGCUAACUACGUGCCAGCAGCCGCGGUAA
RNAcentral lists this ribosomal RNA (483 nucleotides) under uncultured bacterium. Its description in RNAcentral is "partial 16S ribosomal RNA". It matches the Rfam family "Bacterial small subunit ribosomal RNA", at positions 28 to 523 of the family's 1533-position model. The record is from RNAcentral.